Molecule: ribosomal RNA, 119 nt
Filed under: Aegilops tauschii subsp. strangulata
Lineage: Eukaryota; Viridiplantae; Streptophyta; Magnoliopsida; Poales; Poaceae
Source: RNAcentral
GGAUGCGAUCAUACCAGCACUAAAGCACCGGAUCCCAUCAGAACUCCGAAGUUAAGCGUUCUUGGGCGAGGGUAGUACUAGGAUGGGUGACCUCCUGGGAAGUCCUCGUGUUGCAUUCC